UUGCUUCUCAAACUGUGGGAGCUUGUUAGAAAGGCAGUCUCCAGGCUACACGUUCGCCGUAUUAAGACCACGCGCGUGUCCCCAGACCCCUGUCCCUUCCCUAGUCCCGGUUUUGCAAAUGCUGGUGACAUAC
Molecule: small nucleolar RNA, 133 nt
Gene: SNORA72
Rfam family: Small nucleolar RNA SNORA72
About the family: U72 is a member of the H/ACA class of snoRNAs.
Source: Ensembl